RNA transcript from Oncorhynchus kisutch (coho salmon), 6187 nucleotides. It is a transcript of the gene named vasopressin V2 receptor, with no coding region annotated. The record is from RefSeq and is a predicted model, not a curated record. The transcript is spliced from 9 exons. NCBI's taxonomy places the organism in Eukaryota, Metazoa, Chordata, Actinopteri, Salmoniformes, Salmonidae.
GUGAGUAGAGGCACUCAGAAAUAGCAGAGAAGAGAGGGAGCACGGAAACACAUGGUGAACUAAUGGAUUACUCUCAAAGACUCUUGUGAACUACACAGCACCGACAUACCAUCAACCACACAACCUGGCAAAUACAGUACAGACAUACAAUAUUCACACUGAUUUCACUUCAGCCUCAUACUCAACAAGCUCUCUAUAAAUUUAGAUCACACAGACUUUGAGACAGACAGUUCUAACACAGGUCUCUUAAUCUACAUUAGAGUAAAUAGACAAACGGAUUCUCUGAUUCUGACACAAACACAGACACAAUGGAAAUGCAUGGGCUUCAGUGUUGAACUGAAGGACCAAAGAUGUAAAUUUCGGUGAGGAUUCUGACACCUUUGUGAAACAUCACUGAAGAGCACCACAAGCAAAACAGGACACGCAUGAGGAGGUUGACCAUGCACUGACAAAAAGGCAUGGAAACCAUCUCCGGGGAAAUGGGUUGGAAUAAAUUAGGCCACUCCUCUCUGGCAUCCGUGACAACAGGAAGAACCAACCUCACUUCCUCCCUCUUCUCCGACUUCACAUCCCUCAACAGUUCUCACGAAGGGGCAGGGUCCUAUUACUGGAUUAUCCCCGAGAAUGCCUCAGCCACCACGCCCCAUGCCUUACCCCAGCCCAGGGUGAGGGAUCUGGGUCUGGCCCGGGCAGAGAUAGGGGUCCUGGGCUUGGUGCUGGCCCUCACUACCCUAGGGAAUGGCUUCGUACUGUGGGUGCUGCUCCGCAGGAGGAAACACAACGCUCCGAUGCAUCUGUUCAUGGUCAACCUGUGUCUGGCUGACCUGGUGGUGGCGCUGUUCCAGGUUUUUCCCCAGCUGGUGUGGAACAUCACAGAAAGGUUCCAGGGGCCGGAUUUUCUGUGUCGCUCAGUAAAGUACCUGCAGAUCGUAGGGAUGUUCGCGUCCUCCUAUAUGAUUGUUGCCAUGACAGUGGACCGGCACUAUGCCAUCUGCUGCCCACUGCAGGCCUAUCGUGGUGGGUCCGUGUCCCGCUGGAACACCCCUAUUAUGAUGGCCUGGGGCCUGGCCUUACUUCUCUCUAUACCACAGUUGUUCAUCUUCUCGCGGUCGGAGGUGUCUCCAGGAGAGUUUGAGUGCUGGGCUCACUUUGCUGAGCCGUGGGGACUCAAGGCCUACAUCACCUGGAUGACCCUAGCAGUGUUCUUACUGCCAGCACUAAUCAUCACUGUCUGCCAGAUACGGAUCUUCAGAGAGAUUCACAACAACAUCUAUCUGAAGUCAGAGAGGAUGGUGUCAGCAGAGCUCAAGAAGAACAACGCUGUCAUCUUCCACUUCCACAGAGUCAAAAAGGACGAUGACAGAGCGACCAGGGAGCGGGGGAGAGGGGGAUGCAGAGGGGGGAGAGGAGCAGGAGUAGGAGGGGAGCAGCUUCUAAAGACUAUGAACAACAACCCCUCCAGCACUCUCUGCAACCCUCUCUUACCGCUCUCCCCCCAGUCUACUACAGCUGUUGUACCCUCAGAGUGCUAUCCCUACCUGUCCCCCUCUCCACAGUACAGCAGCUGUCACAACAACCACACAGCAGCAACACAGCAAAGCCCCUUCAACACCCCAGAUAACCUAACCCUCCCCUCCAACCCCGGCCUCAGUGACCAAAGGGGCUCCAGUACAGCUGUAGUUCCCCCAUCAUGUGACCCGUGCCCACAUGGAUCCCAUGGCCCAGUCACCUCAGGUGGUUGUGGUGGUGGUUCAGUGCCUCCUAACAAUGGCGGAUGCCACUGUCAUGAGUCCUACACAUCCUUCGAGCUCCCAUCCUCCCCCCGGUGUGUCUCCUCUCCACGCCCAUCGCUGGAGUACCCUCCCCCACCCCCCCGGGCCCUGACGCCCCCCUCCAUCUCCAAGGCCAUGUCUAAGACGGUGAGGAUGACUCUGGUGAUAGUGUUGGUCUACACAGUCUGCUGGUCCCCCUUCUUCAUCGUUCAGCUGUGGGCCGCCUGGGACCCCAACCCUCCAGACCAAGGCGUAGCGUUCACCAUCCUGAUGCUGCUGGCCAGUCUGAACUCGUGUACCAACCCCUGGAUCUACACCUUCUUCAGCAGCUCUGUGUCCAGGGAGCUACAGGCCCUGUUACGCUGCAGACCAAGAACCCCGCGCAGGGGCUCCAUACCUGACGACUCCACCACCACCACACACACCUCCACCACCAAGGACAGCCUCUACUGACACAUUCAGACACUCACACAGCACACACACUCCACCAAGGACAACUUGUACUGUCUCACACACACACACCACCACCUCCACCGCUGCCAGCACCUAAGACUAGAGGACAGCCCGCACUGACCUUCAGGCAGCAAACACAUUUCCCCCAACACGGAAACAUGGACAUCUGUGUUAUGGCCAGGAAGGAAGGACCCUAUGAAACAUCCCCUGUCUGUCUGUCUGUCUGUCCCCUCUGUCUUCUCUCCCUCACACCGAGGAGGUUGCUAUUGAAUGAGAGGAGAAACGUGAGUCAGCUGAGGAGGACAAAUGGAGGUUCCUAUGCUGAUUAUUGGCUGCAACCCAACUCCAAUCAGAGGCCUGAAGAGAGGAGAGGAAAGAUGAUAUGAAGGUAGAGGAACGGGGGAUGACUUUUACUCUUUUAUUUAGAUCUAGAGUAACUGUCUGAAACCCAGUAGAGGGAGAGGGAGGGUGGGAGGGAGGGAGAGAGAGUGAGCAUUUCCCAUGCCAAUAAAGCCCUUAAAUUGAAUUGAAUUGAGAGACAGAGAGGGAGGGAGAGCGAGUAAGAGUGAGAGUGAAAGAAAUAACUGGAGAGGACCAUUUUUGGAAGCAGAAUAAACAGAGGAUGAGAGCGUGGGAGCAAGCUUGGGAGCAAUCCUUGGAGGAGGGGCGGUUGAAGAAGUGGAAGCUAAUAUUAUGGAUGAACUACAGGAAAUCAAAUCAAAAUGUCUGAGGUGGAAUUCAUCUUCACUCAGAAGAGCGGGAGAGGAAUAUCUGGUUUCAAAGAAAGAAAGAAAGAAAGAAAGAAAGAAAGAAAGAAAGAAAGAAAGAAAGAAAGAAAGAAAGAAAGAAAGAAAGAAAGAAAGAAAGAAAGAAAGAAAGAAAGAAAGAAAGAAAGAAAGAAAGAAAGAAAGAAAGAAAGAAAGAAAGAACAAUGGUGACUUGUGAAAAGAGAAAGAGUCAAACAAGUAAGAGGAGACCUGGGGAGAAAUCAGAAUAAAUACUCUGGAUAAACAAUACUAGACACAUUGGAGCAUGUUAAACAUAGCGAGAAGAGAGAGCGAGAGAGAGAGAGAGAGAGAGAGAAGAGGGAGUGAAUGAAUCUAGCAGACCAAGGCUUCGACAACAAGCUAGGACGCAAUUAUGUGAUUAUAUUUCACAUCUGGAGAGAAAUCAGAUUUUUUAAAUCUGGAUUAACAAUACUAGGCACACGGGAGAAUGUUCAACAUAGCGAGAAGAGAUAGAGAGAGAGAGACUUCUUAGAAGUACUUCUUAGAAGUGCAACACAGCCGCCACCGUCAUGUAUGGAUGUCAUGCUAUGAGGAUAGCUCAUAAACACAUGGAGACGUGACUCUUCACAGACUGCCCACGAGAGAGAUAUCACAUUGCUACUAUGCAGAGAUGACCACAUCUGAAUAUUUUAUGGUGUCAAGUCCAUGCACAAGUAAUAACACAUUAUAGAAAAACCACGAGGAAUUUAAUUUAGACUGUACAAUGUAGGAAAUUACCAUUCCAUGUAAAUCAAUGAUUUUAAAUAUAUUUAUUGAAAGUGUUGCAGAGGCACAGUACAAUACGACCAUUAUUAUUUACAGAUUGUGUAAGAGAUUAUGAUGAAUAUAUACUAUGACCGAUAUACAGGUAACUGGCAAAAUAAAGGAAACACCAACAUAAAGUGUCUUAAUAGGGUGUUGGGGCACCACUAGCCUCCGGAAAACAGCUUCAAUCCACCUUUGCAUAGAUUCUACAAGUGUUUGACACCUUUCCUUCCAUCAUUUGGUGUGUUGUUGACUGUGGUGGAGAUCUGGUGAUCUGAGACACACACACACACACACACACACACACACACACACACACACACACACACACACACACACACACACACACACACACACACAAAUAAUGGGCAACUGGGCAUUUUUUAUAUGACCCUAAGCAUGGUGGGAUGUUCAUUUCUUAAUUAACCAGCUUUCAAUAUACUUUGUAUCCCUCAUUUACGCUUUAGUAGGCCUAAGAGUUGUGUUUUGGAAAUAUAGAAUGAGGGCAUCUGUUGUCUAUUAAUGUGAAACUAUCAUUCAGUUGAUAUCAGGAUCCAAAUUAGCCUGGUCCCAGAUCUGUUUUUGCUGCUUUGCCUAUUGUCAUGGCAAGGCAGCAUAGACAGAUCUGGGACCAGGCUAGAUCCAGAUCACUCAGAACCAAACAAAGUGCCUGUAUUGUUAUAGCCAGUGCUUGACUUGAACUGAAACAUGCUCCGGUACUCGUUUUGGGUGCCUGUACUCUUUAUAUUCACAAUACUUUUGAGCUAAUAUUCAAUAAGAGGAACAGGAGCUCAAGCAGUAGAACAUUUGAGGCACCGGUACUCAGCUCCAGUGAGCUCCUGGCCAAGUCAAGCACUGGUUAUAGCAGCAAUAUAAUAAAUAGUAGAGAGAGGGGCCUCCCUAGCCUGGUUCCAGAUCUGCUAUCUUGCCAACUGACCAUAGGAGUUGGCAAUACAACACAAACAGAUCUGGGACCAGGCUAGGGCCCCAUCCUAGGAUAAUACAGUAUUUACUGUAGGCCUUAUAAUACAGAUCGGGGACCAGGCUAGGGCCCCAUCCUAGGAUAAUACAGUAUUUACUGUAGGCCUUAUAAUACAGAUCUGGUAGUAGAGAGGCCUUAUAAUACAAUAUAAUACAGCAUUUACUGUAGUAGAGGGACCCCACACAUAGGACAAUAUAAUACAGCAUUUACUGUAGUAGAGGGACCCCACACAUAGGACAAUAUAAUACAGUAUUUACUGUAGUAGAGGGACCCCACACAUAGGACAAUAUAAUACAGUAUUUACUGUAGUAGAGGGGCCUCACACAUAGGACAAUAUAAUACAGUAUUUACUGUAGUAGAGGGGCCUCACACAUAGGACAAUAUAAUACAGUAUUUACUGUAGUAGAGGGGCCUCACACAUAGGACAAUAUAAUACAGUAUUUACUGUAGUAGAGGGGCCUCACACAUAGGACAAUAUAAUACAGUAUUUACUGUAGUAGAGGGGCCUCACACAUAGGACAAUAUAAUACAGUAUUUACUGUAGUAGAGGGGCCUCAAACAUAGGACAAUAUAAUACAGUAUUUACUGUAGUAGAGGGGCCUCACACAUAGGACAAUAUAAUACAGUAUUUACUGUAGUAGAGGGACCCCACACAUAGGACAAUAUAAUACAGUAUUUACUGUAGUAGAGGGGCCUCACACAUAGGACAAUAUAAUACAGUAUUUACUGUAGUAGAGGGGCCUCACACAUAUGACAAUAUAAUACAGUAUUUACUGUAGUAGAGGGGCCUCACACAUAGGACAAUAUAAUACAGUAUUUACUGUAGUAGAGGGGCCUCACACAUAGGACAAUAUAAUACAGUAUUUACUGUAGUAGAGGGGCCUCACACAUAGGACAAUAUAAUACAGUAUUUACUGUAGUAGAGGGGCCUCACACAUAGGACAAUAUAAUACAGUAUUUACUGUAGUAGAGGGGCCUCACACAUAUGACAAUAUAAUACAGUAUUUACUGUAGUAGAGGGGCCUCACACAUAGGACAAUAUAAUACAGUAUUUACUGUAGUAGUGGGGCUUCCCUCCAGACAGACAAACCACAAAAAGCAGGGAUCAGAUUCAUAUUAUGUCAGACCUCAAGUCAUGUUAUAUGUUCCACAUGUGUUUUUAUCUCUAAUUUAUUCUAUGUCUAAACAAACGAGAAAGGGACAUGUUUAAGUUCCCGUUGUUGCUACCUUAUGUUCAUGCAUGUAGCGACGUAUGUAUGUCUGUUUUUGUUAUAUUUUCUAUUCCUUAUAUUUAUUUAUAAUAAUACACUAAAUUGACCCUUCAACUGCACGACAGACUUAUGGCAACAAUAAUCUGUUACACACCUUUCUUUAAGAUCAUUAUUACUAUGAUAGCUACAUGCGUACACGUUGUAACUUUACAUGUGUAUUAAAAGAGAUUAAAUCCA